This 80-nucleotide transfer RNA is filed under the name Setaria italica (foxtail millet). It matches the Rfam family "tRNA". From Rfam's summary of the family: Transfer RNA (tRNA) molecules are approximately 80 nucleotides in length. Their secondary structure includes four short double-helical elements and three loops (D, anti-codon, and T loops). The record is from Rfam by way of RNAcentral. Lineage: Eukaryota; Viridiplantae; Streptophyta; Magnoliopsida; Poales; Poaceae.
AGGGAUGUAGCUCAAUUGAUAGAGCAUCAAUUGAUAGAGCAUUAAUAACUAGGCACGGGGUUCGAUUCCUCGCAUCUCCA